UUUUUUUUUUUAUUUCCUUUACAUUACAACAUAAAAAAUAACUAGUGUAGAGACCCACGCGAUGCAGCGGGUAGAUAAUAAAAAUAAAAUUCAAAAAUUUUAAUAAAAUUUAUAUUUACAGCUUAUUGAUAUAUAGGAAGCUUACCAUGUUAAACACAGUGAAUUUGCAUGACUAAAUUCAACUGUUAAAAAAAUAAAAUUAUAGCUAGAACCCAAUCAUUAAUAGAAUAUUAAUAUGAUGUAAUUAAAUGUUGCACGUUGCAUGUAAUUAGAGGAAUCGAAGGUGAAGGGUCGGACGUUGAGAAGAAGAGAAAGUGGUUUGAUUUAAAGUUGGGCUAUGAAAAUGAAGGAUAACAUGUCACAUGACAAAAAAAUUUUUUAUGAUGCAUGUGCAAAAGAGUUACAAAAUAGAAGGGGUGGAAGAUUAAUGGAGAAGGGAAGUGGAUUAAAGUUAUAAAGUCCACUCAUUGAUAGAAUAUUAAUAUGGUGCAUGUAAUUAAAUGUUGCACUUUACAUGUAAUUAGACGAGUGAGGAGGUGAAAAGUUGAAAGUUGAGAAGAGGAGAAUGUGGUUUGAUUUAAAGUUAGGCUAUGAGAAUGAAGAGUAAUAUGUCACGUGGCAAAAAAAACUUUUAUGGUACAUACAAAACAGUUAUAAAAGACAGGAGGUGGGAGAUUAAUGGAGAAGGGGAGUGCAUUAAAGUUAUAAAGCCAACUCUUUGAUAAAAUAUUAAUAUGAUGCAUAUAAUUAUGUACCUUGCAUGUAAUUAGAGGAGUGGGGAGAUGAAGGGUUGGGCGUUGAGAAGAAGAGAAGUAAUUUGAUUUAAAGUUGGGUCAUGAAAAUGAAAGGUAAUAUACAACGUGGCAAAAAAUAUUGUGACUUUAUUUAGAUUUAUAAAUUUAUAGAUUUAUAGAUAGGUUGUUGAUGAAAGAGAAUGGAUCUACUCAAUGGG
This 952-nucleotide long non-coding RNA is filed under the name Ananas comosus (pineapple). Its description in RNAcentral is "long non-coding RNA (ACOM_LNC006510)". The record is from RNAcentral. Lineage: Eukaryota; Viridiplantae; Streptophyta; Magnoliopsida; Poales; Bromeliaceae.